Non-coding RNA from Myodes glareolus (Bank vole), 1015 nucleotides. The record is from RefSeq and is a predicted model, not a curated record. Lineage: Eukaryota; Metazoa; Chordata; Mammalia; Rodentia; Cricetidae.
GGUCUCUGAACUGAUGACCGGCAGGGAAAAUGUAGCUUCUCAUCUCCCAGAAAUUUGAGGAAUUUUCAUCUCUAUUUCUACAGAGUUGCUGCUCUUCUCUACAUUAGCGCUUUCAGAUUAUUCUAGAACUUUUUGGGGUUCUCUCUCAGUUACAGAAAAUGCUGUUGUGAGGGAAAGAUGGAGCAGAGCCGACAGAAAGAGAAAUAAUUCCACCCAACUCUGCUAGGUUUCCCAUCAUCUCCUCUCCCUGCUAGUCCAGCCAGUGCUCAAAUGGGGGAGAUAGGAGGACCACCUCUGCCUACCAUCUUUAGUACAAUAAAGCAGCCAGGCAGUGUCUGUUUCAUGACCCUGUAGCAAUCAGAGCGAGAAUCAGGACAGUUUAUCAAAGCCAAAAGUUUCUGUUAAAGCUUGUUUUUUUUUAAAAAAAAAAUAAAUUAGAGGUAAAAUAUUUGUCAUUAUGCAUACAAUAUGCCACUUACAAAAAAGACUUAGAAGUUAGAGAUCUGAGGAGCGAAGUAUUCCUAGUGUUAUAGAAAUGACCCCGAGAGAGGAGGGAACGUGCACACCUGCAAAGAGACAGAAGAAGAAAUCUUCUUUUUCAGUUCCAAGAAGGCACAGAAAUAAAAAUGCAUGUUUCAGUGCUGAGCUGCUUCCUGUGACAUGUGGUGACAUGAAGGGAACAUUACACAAGGAUAAAUUCAAGCAAGGAAUCUUCGUGAAGUCCAUACAGAGUGAAGCUGGGGACUGGUACACACCCACUGAGUUUGAAAUCUUGGGAGGACGCGAACGAUCAAAGAACUGGAAAUUGAGUGUGCGCUGCUACAAUUGGCCCCUGAAAUUGCUGAUUCAGAGAAACUUUCUCCCCAGUUUUUGAGGAACUUACGGCAAGAGAAAAAAGAGAAUGAGACCCUGUGGAUUGCUUCCAGACCAAUAAUAUGGUUUCAUGGACCCCACCCUCCUAAAACGUUGCCAUAAAUACCCUCAAGAAAUUACUUCACUCAUCUGCCAACUGAGA